AAUUACCCAAUCCUGACACAGGGAGGUAGUGACAAGAAAUAACAAUACAGGGCUUAAAGUCUUGUAAUUGGAAUGAUGGGAAUCUAAACCCUUCCCAGAGUAUCAAUUGGAGGGCAAGUCUGGUGCCAGCAGCCGCGAUAAUUCCAGCUCCAAUAGCGUAUAUUAAAGUUGUUGCAGUUAAGAAGCUCGUAGUUGAAUUUCUGCCUUGUCAUUAAUCUCGCUUCCGAGCGUUUUUUUAUUGACUUGGCAUCUUCUGGAUUUGGUGCCUUCGGGUACUAUUUUCCAGGAUUUGCUUUGAGAAAACUAGAGUGUUUCAAACGGGCAUUCGCCUUGAAUACUACAGCAUGGAAUAAUGAAGUAGGACUUUGGUUCUAUUUUGUUGGUUAUUGAGCCAGAGUAAUGGUUAAUAGGAGCAGUUGGGGGCAUUCGUAUUUAA
This 436-nucleotide ribosomal RNA is filed under the name Babesia microti. RNAcentral's name for it is "SSU rRNA". It matches the Rfam family "Eukaryotic small subunit ribosomal RNA", at positions 439 to 901 of the family's 1831-position model. Lineage: Eukaryota; Apicomplexa; Aconoidasida; Piroplasmida; Babesiidae. The record is from RNAcentral.